UACGUAGGGGGCAAGCGUUGUCCGGAUUUAUUGGGCGUAAAGAGCGUGUAGGCGGCCACACAGGUCUGCUGUGAAAACUCGAGGCUCAACCUCGAGCUGUCGGUGGAAACCGUGUGGCUAGAGUCCGGAAGAGGAGAGUGGAAUUCCCGGUGUAGCGGUGAAAUGCGUAGAUAUGCGGAGGAACACCGAUGGCGAAGGCAAUCCCCUGGACCUGUACUGACGCUCAUGCACGAAAGCGUGGGGAGCAAACAGG
Molecule: ribosomal RNA, 253 nt
Filed under: uncultured bacterium
Lineage: Bacteria
Description: partial 16S ribosomal RNA
Rfam family: Bacterial small subunit ribosomal RNA
Source: RNAcentral